GACGAACGCUGGCGGCGUGCUUAACACAUGCAAGUCGAACGGUAAGGCCCUUCGGGGUACACGAGUGGCGAACGGGUGAGUAACACGUGGGUGAUCUGCCCUGCACUUCGGGAUAAGCCUGGGAAACUGGGUCUAAUACCGGAUAGGACCACUGCCUGCAUGGGUGGUGGUGGAAAGCUUUUGCGGUGUGGGAUGGGCCCGCGGCCUAUCAGCUAGUUGGUGGGGUGAUGGCCUACCAAGGCGACGACGGGUAGCCGGCCUGAGGGGGUGACCGGCCACGCUGGGACUGAGAUACGGCCCAGACUCCUACGGGAGGCAGCAGUGGGGAAUAUUGCACAAUGGGCGCAAGCCUGAUGCAGCGACGCCGCGUGAGGGAUGACGGCCUUCGGGUUGUAAACCUCUUUCAGCACCGACGAAGCGCAAGUGACGGUAGGUGCAGAAGAAGGACCGGCCAACUACGUGCCAGCCGCCGCCGUAA
RNAcentral lists this ribosomal RNA (478 nucleotides) under uncultured bacterium. RNAcentral's name for it is "partial 16S ribosomal RNA". It matches the Rfam family "Bacterial small subunit ribosomal RNA", at positions 28 to 523 of the family's 1533-position model. The record is from RNAcentral.